This 318-nucleotide ribosomal RNA is filed under the name Rickettsiales bacterium. Its description in RNAcentral is "bacterial SSU rRNA". It matches the Rfam family "Bacterial small subunit ribosomal RNA", at positions 236 to 567 of the family's 1533-position model. The record is from RNAcentral. Lineage: Bacteria; Pseudomonadati; Pseudomonadota; Alphaproteobacteria; Rickettsiales.
AAGUUUAGGUAGUUGGUACUGUAAAAGAUUACCAAGCCUUCAAUGCUUAACUAAUCUGGGAGGAUGUUUAGUCACAUAAGAACUGAGAUAAGGUCUUAAACCAUACGUGGUUCAGCAGUAGAGAAUAAUUGGACAAUGGACGUAAGUUUGAUCCAGAAAUGCUUAUAGAAUGAAAGAAGGCUCUUGCUGUAAAGUUCUUUUAUUUAGAAAAAAUAAUGAUAUUAUCUAAAAUGGAAUUAGUCUUGGUUAAUACCUGUGCCAGCAGCUGCGGUAAUACAGGAGAGGCGGACGUUAUUCGUCGUUAUUGGGUGUAAAGGG